This 514-nucleotide long non-coding RNA is filed under the name Vombatus ursinus (common wombat). RNAcentral's name for it is "lncRNA (ENSVURG00010011256.1)". Lineage: Eukaryota; Metazoa; Chordata; Mammalia; Diprotodontia; Vombatidae. The record is from RNAcentral.
GAGGGUGUGAGGGAGGAGCGGAGCUGGGGAAGCGGGAGCGCGACCAGACCCCGGGCCCCGCCCCAGCCCCAGCCCGGCCCUGCCCGGCCCGGCCAACCCUCCCCUGCCGGCGCGGCGACCCCGCCCCGAGCGCCCAGCAUGAAAGAGCAGAGCCUGGAUGAGGAGAUGGUCGAAGAGGUUAUGGAAACCCCUAUGGAGGAGCUGCCAUCACACCUGCGGGAAGGUCCCCCUGAAGGUACCUUCAUCAAUACUUGCCUUCAGGAAAAGCUCUUCUAUCAGUCAUGUGCACCUUAGUGUGAAUUUAAGCCACCUUUUUCUCCUCCCAAAGGAGAUCUGAAUUGCAAGUCAGAUCUCUCACAGACAACAAAGUCUCCCAUUCUAGGGGGAAAAAAAAGAGUUCUUGCGUCUUUGAAUGGGGAGUCCUUUCCUGCCGCCAGAAAACCAACCAUCUUUUAUCCUCUCCUCACCUUUGCUCUCUCCCCAAUAAAUGCAAACUGUGUGGACUUCCGUUUCA